GGCUCCUUGGUCAAGCGGUUAAGACACCGCCCUUUCACGGCGGUAACACGGGUUCGAGCCCCGUAGGAGUCA
Molecule: transfer RNA, 72 nt
Filed under: Staphylococcus aureus
Lineage: Bacteria; Bacillati; Bacillota; Bacilli; Caryophanales; Staphylococcaceae
Also listed under: 2 other names
Description: tRNA-Glu
Rfam family: tRNA
About the family: Transfer RNA (tRNA) molecules are approximately 80 nucleotides in length. Their secondary structure includes four short double-helical elements and three loops (D, anti-codon, and T loops). Further hydrogen bonds mediate the characteristic L-shaped molecular structure. tRNAs have two regions of fundamental functional importance: the anti-codon, which is responsible for specific mRNA codon recognition, and the 3' end, to which the tRNAs corresponding amino acid is attached (by aminoacyl-tRNA synthetases). tRNAs cope with the degeneracy of the genetic code in two manners: having more than one tRNA (with a specific anti-codon) for a particular amino acid; and 'wobble' base-pairing, i.e. permitting non-standard base-pairing at the 3rd anti-codon position.
Source: RNAcentral